GAGGUUGUGCCCUUGAGGCGUGGCUUCCGGAGCUAACGCGUUAAGUCGACCGCCUGGGGAGUACGGCCGCAAGGUUAAAACUCAAAUGAAUUGACGGGGGCCCGCACAAGCGGUGGAGCAUGUGGUUUAAUUCGAUGCAACGCGAAGAACCUUACCUGGUCUUGACAUCCACAGAACUUGGCAGAGAUGCCUUGGUGCCUUCGGGAACUGUGAGACAGGUGCUGCAUGGCUGUCGUCAGCUCGUGUUGUGAAAUGUUGGGUUAAGUCCCGCAACGAGCGCAACCCUUAUCCUUUGUUGCCAGCGGUUAGGCCGGGAACUCAAAGGAGACUGCCAGUGAUAAAUCUGGAGGAAGGUGGGGAUGACGUCAAGUCAUCAUGGCCCUUACGACCAGGGCUACACACGUGCUACAAUGGCGCAUACAAAGAGAAGCGAACUCGNCGAGAGCAAGCGGACCUCAUAAAGUGCGU
RNAcentral lists this ribosomal RNA (468 nucleotides) under Enterobacter sp. REI_120. Its description in RNAcentral is "bacterial SSU rRNA". It matches the Rfam family "Bacterial small subunit ribosomal RNA", at positions 820 to 1286 of the family's 1533-position model. The record is from RNAcentral. Lineage: Bacteria; Pseudomonadati; Pseudomonadota; Gammaproteobacteria; Enterobacterales; Enterobacteriaceae.